RNAcentral lists this ribosomal RNA (1398 nucleotides) under uncultured bacterium. Its description in RNAcentral is "16S ribosomal RNA". It matches the Rfam family "Bacterial small subunit ribosomal RNA". The record is from RNAcentral.
AGAGUUUGAUCCUGGCUCAGGAUGAACGCUAGCGGCAGGCUUAACACAUGCAAGUCGAGGGGCAUCGGGAGGGAAGCUUGCUUUCCUUGCCGGCGACCGGCGCACGGGUGAGUAACACGUAUGCAACCUGCCCUCUUCAGGGGGACAACCUUCCGAAAGGGAGGCUAAUCCCGCGUAUAUCGGUUUCGGGCAUCCGGGAUCGAGGAAAGAUUCAUCGGAAGAGGAUGGGCAUGCGGCGCAUUAGCUGGACGGCGGGGUAACGGCCCACCGUGGCGACGAUGCGUAGGGGUUCUGAGAGGAAGGUCCCCCACACUGGUACUGAGACACGGACCAGACUCCUACGGGAGGCAGCAGUGAGGAAUAUUGGUCAAUGGGAGAGAUCCUGAACCAGCCAAGCCGCGUGAGGGAAGACGGCCCUAUGGGUUGUAAACCUCUUUUGUCGGAGAACAAAACCCGGGACGUGUCCCGGACUGCGUGUAUCCGAAGAAAAAGCAUCGGCUAACUCCGUGCCAGCAGCCGCGGUAAUACGGAGGAUGCGAGCGUUAUCCGGAUUUAUUGGGUUUAAAGGGUGCGUAGGCGGUCCGUUAAGUCAGCGGUAAAAUUGCGGGGCUCAACCCCGUCGAGCCGUUGAAACUGGCAGACUUGAGUUGGCGAGAAGUACGCGGAAUGCGCGGUGUAGCGGUGAAAUGCAUAGAUAUCGCGCAGAACUCCGAUUGCGAAGGCAGCGUACCGGCGCCAGACUGACGCUGAGGCACGAAAGCGUGGGGAUCGAACAGGAUUAGAUACCCUGGUAGUCCACGCAGUAAACGAUGAAUGCUGGUUGUCCGGGUCGAAUGAGAUCUGGGCGGCGAAGCGAAAGCGAUAAGCAUUCCACCUGGGGAGUACGCCGGCAACGGUGAAACUCAAAGGAAUUGACGGGGGCCCGCACAAGCGGAGGAACAUGUGGUUUAAUUCGAUGAUACGCGAGGAACCUUACCCGGGCUCAAACGCAGGCUGACGGGUCCCGAAAGGGGCCUUUCUUCGGACAUUCUGCGAGGUGCUGCAUGGUUGUCGUCAGCUCGUGCCGUGAGGUGUCGGCUUAAGUGCCAUAACGAGCGCAACCCCUGUCCACAGUUGCCAGCAGGUAAAGCUGGGGACUCUGUGGAGACUGCCGGCGCAAGCUGCGAGGAAGGCGGGGAUGACGUCAAAUCAGCACGGCCCUUACGUCCGGGGCGACACACGUGUUACAAUGGCAGGUACAGCGGGAUGCCACGGGGCGACCCGGCGCUGAACCCGAAAACCUGUCUCAGUUCGGAUUGGAGUCUGCAACCCGACUCCAUGAAGCUGGAUUCGCUAGUAAUCGCGCAUCAGCCACGGCGCGGUGAAUACGUUCCCGGGCCUUGUACACACCGCCCGUCA